This 437-nucleotide ribosomal RNA is filed under the name uncultured bacterium. RNAcentral's name for it is "bacterial SSU rRNA". It matches the Rfam family "Bacterial small subunit ribosomal RNA", at positions 43 to 524 of the family's 1533-position model. The record is from RNAcentral.
CAGGCCUAACACAUGCAAGUCGAACGAGUGCCUUCGGGUGCUAGUGGCGCACGGGUGCGUAACGCGUGGGAAUCUGCCCUGGGGUCUGGGAUAACCGUUGGAAACGACGGCUAAUACCGGAUGAUGAUGAAAAUCCAAAGAUUUAUCGCCCUGGGAUGAGCCCGCGUCGGAUUAGCUAGUUGGUGGGGUAAAGGCCUACCAAGGCGACGAUCCGUAGCUGGUCUGAGAGGAUGAUCAGCCACACUGGGACUGAGACACGGCCCAGACUCCUACGGGAGGCAGCAGUGGGGAAUAUUGGACAAUGGGCGCAAGCCUGAUCCAGCAAUGCCGCGUGAGUGAUGAAGGCCUUAGGGUUGUAAAGCUCUUUUACCCGGGAUGAUAAUGACAGUACCGGGAGAAUAAGCCCCGGCUAACUCCGUGCCAGCAGCCGCGGUAAU